CCUUUGACCUUCUCUGCGAAUGAAAACAAGUCUCAAAGACCUCUAUUAAUCAAUUAUAGAAUACGGUCAAUGCCCUUAAGUGAACUAUAUGCCCACAAUCAAGACAAAUUUUCGGUUAAGACCCUUUUGUGUAAGAUAGAACACGGCCAAAAGCCCUCUGUAAAUUAGAAAAGGUAUAUAAUCACGAGUGCUUUUCCGAUUGAUCUCAAUAUCACAUCUCACAUUCCAAUUUACAAUUAAUCCAUACACAAUCUUGAAUUCCAUAUUUAUCAGAGUGAAAGAAAAUUUCCAUGUUAAUCAUGUAAUUGGACAAAUAAUUAACGUAAUCGCACGUAAUAUAAUAAUAUAAGUACUUUAUCAAUAUUAGAAAAUAUACAAGUUUUUCCACUGACCAAGUUAAAGAACGAUGACAACUUCAAUCUUCUCGCCACCUUUCAUUCAAAUACUAAUUAUGAUAUCUUGCACUCGCGCCCCAUAAGAUCACAUCUCUUCACAGAGGUACCUCGAGCUUUUUUCCUACCAUUGAAAUAAGGAUAUGCUAAUAGGAACUUAAUGUCUUUAUUUUCAAUAUCAUAAUCCCAAUUAGGAUCAUUAUUACCAUAUACUCUUUUAUAUAAGUUAUUUUAACGCAUAAUCCCCAAUAUUUAUCACUUAAUUUUGUUUUCAUUAUAAAAUAUCCAAGAAAAUUAGAAUAUUAACAAAAAUAGCACUAUACUUCUGGAUUACUGAAAAUAUGGCAUCUAUUUCUGUAUAUUGAACACUGUCGCUCAGCGACGGAUCCAACACUCGACGAGCCCCUGCAACCGCCCGUGCUGGAUCGCCGGAGCUCAAUUUUUUUUGUUGUCCAAGUAUUUAUUUGUUU
This 862-nucleotide long non-coding RNA is filed under the name Olea europaea (common olive). Its description in RNAcentral is "long non-coding RNA (OEUR_LNC008540)". The record is from RNAcentral. Lineage: Eukaryota; Viridiplantae; Streptophyta; Magnoliopsida; Lamiales; Oleaceae.